This is an RNA transcript of Populus euphratica (Euphrates poplar), 1187 nucleotides long. It is a transcript of the gene named Acyl-CoA N-acyltransferases (NAT) superfamily protein, with no coding region annotated. The record is from RefSeq and is a predicted model, not a curated record. Lineage: Eukaryota; Viridiplantae; Streptophyta; Magnoliopsida; Malpighiales; Salicaceae. The transcript is spliced from 4 exons.
GGAGCUUCCCUUGCAGUAGAUUUUUUCUCAUUUCCUACAGGCAAGGCCAAAACCUAAACCCUAACGACGUCUGAAUCUCCUCCAGCAUGGUGUGCAUAAGGAAGGCGACCAUGGACGACUUGUUGGCGAUGCAAGCAUGCAACUUGCUAUGCUUGCCCGAAAAUUACCAGAUGAAAUAUUACUUUUACCACAUCCUCUCUUGGCCGCAUCUCCUCUAUGUCGCUGAAGAUUACAACGGCCGAAUUGUCGGUUACGUUUUGGCCAAAAUGGAAGAAGAAUCGAACGAGUGUCAUGGUCAUAUCACUUCUCUCGCUGUCCUUCGUACUCACCGUAAGCUUGGCCUCGCUACCAAGCUCAUGAACGCCGCCCAAACCGCCAUGGAACAGGUAUUUGGAGCAGAGUAUGUGUCGCUGCAUGUGAGGAAGAGUAAUCGUGCAGCUUUCAAUCUGUAUACAGAAACAUUAGGCUACAAGAUUCAUGAUGUGGAAGCAAAGUAUUAUGCAGAUGGGGAGGAUGCAUAUGAUAUGAGGAAGCAGCUGAAGGGAAAGCAGAGUCAUCAUCACGGUCACCACCACCAUCACCACCACCAUGGUGGCGGGUGUUGUUCAGGUGGUGCCAGGCCCAUGGAAGCUCGACCAGAAUUGAAAUCAGAGGCAAAAGCUGGCACCAAGGCAGAAUCAAAAACGGGUUGACGAUGAAUGGUCACUGACUAGUUGGAGAAGACCUCUGUCUCUCUCACUAGUAUAAUUGUGCAAUCACCCACUGUGUACGACUAUGAUAUGAUGGUAACCUGAGCUUAAUGGUAUCGUAGAUGCCGAUUUCCAUAGAGGAUUGAUUGCUGCAGAAAGCUUGCAUUUGGAUAUGGCUUCUGUUAUUUGAGGAGCUGCAAUGAGGUAGCUGUGCUAGGUGGAAACUACACCUCAACUCAAGGCCGCCAAAUGCCAGAGAAAACAAAGUUAGAUGGUUUUUUUCUUUUUUAUUUUUCUAAGUUGAAUGAAAUUAAAUGUCAUUGUGUAGCAAGAAAUGGAUUCAACUAAAGACAAAGGCUGCUGUGGCUCGUGAGGGUAUGGAUGCUCUUCUAGAGUUUGAAACGCGUCUCAAUGUGGUAGCGUGAGUGAUAGGGUUGCUGUGACACUAAAGUAAUGUGGUUAUUAGUAGAAGUUAAUGUGCAGCUUCUGCUGUUCAAA